This 401-nucleotide long non-coding RNA is filed under the name Aedes aegypti (yellow fever mosquito). RNAcentral describes it as "uncharacterized LOC125467742 (LOC125467742)". The record is from RNAcentral. Lineage: Eukaryota; Metazoa; Arthropoda; Insecta; Diptera; Culicidae.
UUUUUCCAUCAAUCGAAACCAUGUCCGCAUCGAAGCUUACUCUGACGCUGCUAGUCCUGGUGGUGGCCCUGGUGGCCUUCGCCAGUGCCCAAUGGCCCCCGGUGAAGUCCGGUCCCGGUGACAAACGGUGCUACUGCUUCCGAACGUUCACUCCGGUGUGCGGUACCGACAACAAGAACUAUCUGAGUCUGUGCCAUCUGCAGUGUGCCAAGCAUUUCUACGAGGUUGAUGUCAAGAGCAAUGGGCUGUGCCCCGGGGGCAACGAUAACAUCGUUCUGGGGGAUAUUGAUCCGAGUGCUUUCCCGUGGAGUGGCUGAAGUAGGAAGGUGCUGGUGAAGUGAGGUGAACACGUAAAAUCAUAGAAAGUGAAUCUGUUUUCAAUUAUUUUGUGUGUGUAAUAA